GCGGGAGUAGUUCAACUCUCAGAACAUUUUCCUUCCCGGAAAAAGGUAUAGGUGCAAAUCCUAUCUUCCGCUCCA
RNAcentral lists this transfer RNA (75 nucleotides) under Staphylococcus agnetis. RNAcentral's name for it is "tRNA-Gly". It matches the Rfam family "tRNA". Rfam says of the family: Transfer RNA (tRNA) molecules are approximately 80 nucleotides in length. Their secondary structure includes four short double-helical elements and three loops (D, anti-codon, and T loops). Lineage: Bacteria; Bacillati; Bacillota; Bacilli; Caryophanales; Staphylococcaceae. The record is from RNAcentral. RNAcentral also lists the same sequence under 2 other names.